RNAcentral lists this transfer RNA (88 nucleotides) under Colletotrichum higginsianum. Its description in RNAcentral is "tRNA CH063_16406". It matches the Rfam family "tRNA". Rfam says of the family: Transfer RNA (tRNA) molecules are approximately 80 nucleotides in length. Their secondary structure includes four short double-helical elements and three loops (D, anti-codon, and T loops). Lineage: Eukaryota; Fungi; Ascomycota; Sordariomycetes; Glomerellales; Glomerellaceae. RNAcentral also lists the same sequence under 1 other name. The record is from RNAcentral.
CUCCCCUUGGUGUAGUUGGUUUAUCACGUUCGACUGUAAUGGUUACAUUGUCAUCGAAAGGUCUCUAGUUCGAUUCUGGAAGGGGAGA